AGUGAACGCUGGCGGUAGGCCUAACACAUGCAAGUCGAACGGCAGCACAGUAAGAGCUUGCUCUUACGGGUGGCGAGUGGCGGACGGGUGAGGAAUACAUCGGAAUCUACUUUUUCGUGGGGGAUAACGUAGGGAAACUUACGCUCAUACCGCAUACGACCUACGGUUGAAAGCAGGGGAUCUUCGCACCUUGCGCGAUUGAAUGAGCCGAUGUCGGAUUAGCUAGUUGGCGGGGUAAAGGCCCACCAAGGCGACGAUCCGUAGCUGGUCUGAGAGGAUGGUCAGCCACACUGGAAGUGAGACACGGUACAGACACCUACGGGAGGCAGCAGUGGGGAAGAUAGGACAAUGGGCGCAAGACUGAUCCAGCCAUACCGCGUGGGUGAAGAAGGCCUGCGGGUUGUAAAGCCCUUUUGUUGGGAAAGAAAAGCAGCAGGUUAAAACCCCGCUGUUCUGACGGUACCCAAAGAAUAAGCACCGACUAACUUCGU
This 491-nucleotide ribosomal RNA is filed under the name uncultured bacterium. RNAcentral describes it as "partial 16S ribosomal RNA". It matches the Rfam family "Bacterial small subunit ribosomal RNA", at positions 29 to 506 of the family's 1533-position model. The record is from RNAcentral.